RNAcentral lists this ribosomal RNA (253 nucleotides) under uncultured bacterium. Its description in RNAcentral is "partial 16S ribosomal RNA". It matches the Rfam family "Bacterial small subunit ribosomal RNA", at positions 524 to 776 of the family's 1533-position model. The record is from RNAcentral.
UACGGGGGGGGCAAGCGUUGUUCGGAAUUACUGGGCGUAAAGGGCUCGUAGGUGGCCAACUAAGUCAGACGUGAAAUCCCGAGGCUCAACCUCGGGUCUGCAUCCGAUACUGCCCGGCUAGAGGUAGGUAGGGGAGAUCGGAAUUCCUGGUGUAGCGGUGAAAUGCGCAGAUAUCAGGAGGAACACCGGUGGCGAAGGCGGAUCUCUGGGCCUUACCUGACGCUCAGGCGCGAAAGCUAGGGGAGCGAACUGG